CUUCCGUAAGGGGAACCUGCGGAAGGAUCAUUCCUGUGAUUUACUACUACACUGCGUGAGCGGAACGAAAACAACAACACCUAAAAUGUGGAAUAUAGCAUAUAGUCGACAAGAGAAAUCUACGAAAAAACAAACAAAACUUUCAACAACGGAUCUCUUGGUUCUCGCAUCGAUGAAGAGCGCAGCGAAAUGCGAUACCUAGUGUGAAUUGCAGCCAUCGUGAAUCAUCGAGUUCUUGAACGCACAUUGCGCCCCUCGGCAUUCCGGGGGGCAUGCCUGUUUGAGCGUCGUUUCCAUCUUGCGCGUGCGCAGAGUUGGGGGAGCGGAGCGGACGACGUGUAAAGAGCGUCGGAGCUGCGACUCGCCUGAAAGGGAGCGAAGCUGGCCGAGCGAACUAGACUUUUUUUCAGGGACGCUUGGCGGCCGAGAGCGAGUGUUGCGAGACAACAAAAAGCUCGACCUCAAAUCAGGUAGGAAUACCCGCUGAACUUAAGCAUAUCAAUAAGCCGGAGGAAA
Molecule: ribosomal RNA, 516 nt
Filed under: Pichia terricola
Lineage: Eukaryota; Fungi; Ascomycota; Pichiomycetes; Pichiales; Pichiaceae
Description: eukaryotic LSU rRNA
Rfam family: 5.8S ribosomal RNA (bases 138-290)
Source: RNAcentral